This 828-nucleotide ribosomal RNA is filed under the name uncultured crenarchaeote. Its description in RNAcentral is "bacterial SSU rRNA". It matches the Rfam family "Archaeal small subunit ribosomal RNA", at positions 52 to 859 of the family's 1478-position model. Lineage: Archaea; Thermoproteati; Thermoproteota. The record is from RNAcentral.
UGCGAGUCGAGCGUUUCUAGCUAUGUUGAGACGCGGCAUACGGCUCAGUAACACGUGGCUAACCUACCCUCAGGACGGGGACAAACCCGGGAAACUGGGGCUAAUAUCCGAUAGGCGAGGAAUCCUGGAAUGGUUCUUCACCCAAAGGACAUUGGAAACAUGCUUUCUCUGUCGCCUGGGGAUGGGGCCGCGACCGAUCAGGUUGUUGGUGAGGUAAUGGCUCACCAAGCCUUUAACCGGUACGGGCCAUGAGAGUGGUAGCCCGGAGAUGGGUACUGAGACAAGGACCCAGGCCCUACGGGGCGCAGCAGUCGCGAAAACUCCGCAAUGCACGAAAGUGUGACGGGGCUACCCCGAGUGCCGUCCGCUGAGGAUGGCUUUUCCUUGGUGUAACUAGCCGGGGGAAUAAGGAGAGGGCAAGACUGGUGUCAGCCGCCGCGGUAAUACCAGCUCUCCGAGUGGUAGGGAUGAUUAUUGGGCUUAAAGCGUCCGUAGCCGGCUUAGCAAGUUUCCUGUUAAAUUCAGCGACCUAAUCGUUGAGCCGCGGGAAAUACUACUAGGCUAGGAGGCGGGAGAGGUCGACGGUACUUCUGGGGUAGGGGUGAAAUCCUAUAAUCCCGGGAGGACCACCAGUGGCGAAGGCUGUCGACUAGAACGCGCUCGACGGUGAGGGACGAAAGCUGGGGGAGCGAACCGGAUUAGAUACCCGGGUAGUCCCAGCUGUAAACGAUGCGGGCUAGGUGUUGGGGUGGCUACGUGCCACUUCAGUGCCGCAGGAAGCCAUUAAGCCCGCCGCCUGGGGAGUACGGCCGCAAGGCUGAAACUUAA